Molecule: ribosomal RNA, 292 nt
Filed under: uncultured bacterium
Lineage: Bacteria
Description: partial 16S ribosomal RNA
Rfam family: Bacterial small subunit ribosomal RNA
Source: RNAcentral
GUGUCAGCAGCCGCGGUAAUACAGAGGGUGCAAGCGUUGUUCGGAAUCAUUGGGCGUAAAGGGCGCGUAGGCGGUUUUACAAGUCAGAUGUGAAAGCCCACAGCUUAACUGUGGAAGUGCAUUUGAAACUGCAAGACUAGAAUCUCGGAGAGGGUGGUGGAAUUCCCAGUGUAGAGGUGAAAUUCGUAGAUAUUGGGAGGAACACCGGUGGCGAAGGCGACCACCUGGCUGAAGAUUGACGCUGAGGCGCGAAAGCGUGGGGAUCAAACAGGAUUAGAUACCCCCGUAGUCC